RNAcentral lists this ribosomal RNA (486 nucleotides) under uncultured bacterium. RNAcentral describes it as "partial 16S ribosomal RNA". It matches the Rfam family "Bacterial small subunit ribosomal RNA", at positions 29 to 507 of the family's 1533-position model. The record is from RNAcentral.
AUUGAACGCUGGCGGCAUGCCUUACACAUGCAAGUCGAACGGCAGCACGGGUGCUUGCGCCUGGUGGCGAGUGGCGAACGGGUGAGUAAUACAUCGGAACAUGUCCUGUAGUGGGGAAUAGCCCGGCGAAAGCCGGAUUAAUACCGCAUACGAUCUACGGAUGAAAGCGGGGGACCUUCGGGCCUCGCGCUAUAGGGUUGGCCGAUGGCUGAUUAGCUAGUUGGUGGGGUAAAGGCCUAACAAGGCGACGAUCAGUAGCUGGUCUGAGAGGACGACCAGCCACACUGGGACUGAGACACGGCCCAGACUCCUACGGGAGGCAGCAGUGGGGAAGGUUGGACAAUGGGCGAAAGCCUGAUCCAGCAAUGCCGCGUGGGUGAAGAAGGCCUUCGGGUUGUAAAGCACUUUUGUCCGGAAAGAAAUCCUUGGCCCUAAUACGGGCGGGGGAUGACGGUACCGGAAGAAUAAGCACCGGCUAACUACGUG